Molecule: long non-coding RNA, 1548 nt
Organism: Parus major (Great Tit)
Lineage: Eukaryota; Metazoa; Chordata; Aves; Passeriformes; Paridae
Source: Ensembl
CCCUUGCAGGUUACAGUCUUCCCAAAGUUAUGGUAGUGAAGAUAAAAUUUGGUAUUAGUAGCUGAACUUUUGAAUUUUUGGCCAAUGUCCAAACCUUCCCAGUUUUUACCAUGGCUGAUUUUUAUAGGUGCUUUUUUUACAGUAUUGAAGUUGGGCUUAUAGAUGAUGCUGGAUUCAUUUUUAUUUUGUUGAGGCUUGUUUUAUUUGCACUUAGGUAUGUAGUUGUGGUGCGUGCUCUGAAGGGAUUUUGCAUCUUAGUUGGUUUCUUUGGUGGUCUUGAAGAAAGGGCAAAAUUAAUGCUGCACAUAAUGAGCCUGUUAUUAAAACUUUAUUCAUAGGUGAGCAGGAGGAGCAUAGAAAAUUUAUUCAUUUAUAUGCAUCUAUAUUAAAUAAAUAUGAAUAUAUAUGUAGUCAUAUUUUUCAUGGAGACUGAAUUCCAAAAAACCGUCUCUGCUUUUUAAAUCCAAAAGCAAACAUAACUGGUUUUGAUGCCUCCCACUCUCUGCAAUGAAAGUGGUUUAUCCUUGUAAAGAUAAAAGAUUUUUUACUUUGUGGAAGUAAUUUGAUUGUAACCUUUGGUAUCGUUGCUGUCUGUCAUUUUUCUCUUUCACAAAGUUUAAUCCUUAAGAAAUUGUGAAAACUCCUGAAAUUUUAGAAAAAACAUCUUUGACCUGUAUGAAAAAGGCAUUUUUGAAUCUGCAAAUUGUUGGGUAUUUCUUUCUUUGGUAAUGGUUUGUUGGGGGGUUUUAAAGUCGAACAGAAUGUAGUUUGAGAGGGAGAGAUCUGAAAGAGCUGGGACAGAGUUGUCUGAGCCAGAUGCUGCAGAGAUACCUCUCCUCUCCCUUAAAUUGUUCUGAAAUGUCCUUAUAUUUUGCAGCACAUGAGUUGUGCUCUUGGCUGCCAUUUCCUUCCUGCAGCCUCCCAAAGUGAUGCAAAGGCUUCCCUUAUCCUAAUGGUGAGGUCAGAUUGUACCAGUGUGCUCUGGAACAGCCUUUUCUGUGCUCAAAGGCACUUACAUCUCACCAAGGCUCUCCUUUGGCUAAUAAAGGUUUUCAGCUUUGAGUGUGUUGUUGCUACACUCAUGGAGAGAGACAGAGUGUUCUCAUCAUGUGAUCCUCUUACAAGGAUACAAGAGCUUCAUCAGUUUAAUUUCCAGGUUUUAAUUUCUUGCAUCCUAUUCCUCAGAAGGCCAGGGACUAAAAGGAGUUCCAUCCCUCGUAGCAUGCAUGGAAAAGGGAUUUGUGGCUCCUGGGCUUCUUUUCCAGCUCUCUCCAACUUCAUCAGUGUUACCAUCACUGCUGCUCACCUCAGUGACCCCACCUGGAAACUUACCAUCUUGCUUGGUUCAUCCCUUCCUCUCAAGGCAGCUUUCAAAAGAGAAUAUGUCUGGUUGCAGAAACCAGCAAGGAUUUGGCUGCUGCAGCACAGUUAUUUACACUUCCUUACCAGUUUGCCUGCUACAAUCAGCAUCUCCUGUGGGAGUGAGAAUGAAAGGACUUCAGUGUGUCCCCUGUGUAAGUUUUGACCACCUAAGACAAUUGUAAGGUG